AACCAUCGAGUCUUUGAACGCAAGUUGCGCCUGAGGCCAACCGGCUGAGGGCACGUCCGCCUGGGCGUCAAGC
RNAcentral lists this ribosomal RNA (73 nucleotides) under Dendrobium moniliforme. RNAcentral describes it as "partial 5.8S ribosomal RNA". The record is from RNAcentral. RNAcentral also lists the same sequence under 1 other name. Lineage: Eukaryota; Viridiplantae; Streptophyta; Magnoliopsida; Asparagales; Orchidaceae.